RNAcentral lists this long non-coding RNA (231 nucleotides) under Linum usitatissimum (flax). RNAcentral describes it as "long non-coding RNA (LUSI_LNC006031)". Lineage: Eukaryota; Viridiplantae; Streptophyta; Magnoliopsida; Malpighiales; Linaceae. The record is from RNAcentral.
GCAUAUAUACAUGCACACAUCACAAAAUUAAUGUUUAGUCACUAAUUACUCAUCGAAAUACCACAUUGGAAGAUGUCUUGGGAUCUAUAGUUGACAUGACAGCGUAGCCUUUUCCACUGUUUAUCUGUCACAAAUAUAAUUUGUUAUUGAACACUAAAAAAAUGAAGAAAAAAAAACCGACGGAACAGCUACCGGAUCUAACACUAUAGUUAUUGUGAUCUUACAAUUUUU